AUUAUUUAUUUGUCCUUGAGUGUUUUGUGAUGCAUAUUCACAACGAAACAAGCUUAUUUAAUUAUUACUUUCAGGAACUCUUGUCUUGCCCGAAUUGAGGUCAUUCCCAUGAAUAUGGAUGCAUAAAAUGAUAUACUGUACUAACAACAUUUUUGCGGCUGCAUUAAAACAAGGAGACUGUUCCACAUAGUACUGUGUCAUGUCCUAUUUGAAUGUCCUUAAGCAGCUUGAUACCGAAGAAGGAAUAUGUGAAUUUGUGCGUUUUACCCAUUACGUAGGCUGGGUCUUUCUUAUCACGCUUGUAGUAGCAUCACAGAUCCAUACUGUUGAGAUCGCGUCUGCAAUCAGUGCCGUUGCAUCAAAAGCCAUGUGAACGUAGUACUCAUGGGAGGGCGAUCUUCUUAGCAGACAACAGGCUAUGAAGUGAAUCAUGACAUUUGUGCACCGGUGGCAAAUGAUAAAUGACAAGACGAAAGGGAAGUGUUAUUCUGCGGCAGAUGUUGCAGUGAGAUCAUAAAAGAAGUUGUCACUUCCUGGAUGCCAGCUAUAUACUUUGUUAAUGCUGUCUACAAUAUGCAAGUCGGAUUAUGAUAUUGGGAGUGCACAUUUAAGAAGACUAGUUUGUGGGGAGUUAUAAUGCGUACUUGGUUGCCAAGAUAAAAACAACUGAAUUCAACAAUAAAUGUACACUUAAUGAGA
This 699-nucleotide unclassified non-coding RNA is filed under the name Lingula anatina. RNAcentral's name for it is "ceramide phosphoethanolamine synthase, transcript variant X2". The record is from RNAcentral. Lineage: Eukaryota; Metazoa; Brachiopoda; Lingulata; Lingulida; Lingulidae.